This 492-nucleotide ribosomal RNA is filed under the name uncultured bacterium. RNAcentral describes it as "partial 16S ribosomal RNA". It matches the Rfam family "Bacterial small subunit ribosomal RNA", at positions 29 to 507 of the family's 1533-position model. The record is from RNAcentral.
AGUGAACGCUGGCGGCAGGCCUAACACAUGCAAGUCGAACGGCAACACAGUAAGAUUUUGCUCUUACGGGUGGCGAGUGGCGGACGGGUGAGGAAUACAUCGGAAUCUACUUUUUCGUGGGGGACAACGGAGGGAAACUUACGCUAAUACCGCAUACGACCUACGGGAGAAAGCAGGGGAUCUUCGGACCUUGCGCGAUUGAAUGAGCCGAUGUCGGAUUAGCUAGUUGGCGGGGUAAAGGCCCACCAAGGCGACGAUCCGUAGCUGGUCUGAGAGGAUGAUCAGCCACACUGGAACUGAGACACGGUCCAGACUCCUACGGGAGGCAGCAGUGGGGAAUAUUGCACAAUGGGCGCAAGCCUGAUGCAGCCAUGCCGCGUGAGUGAAGAAGGCCUUCGGGUUGUAAAGCCCUUUUAUUGGGAAAGAAAAGAAGCAGGUUAAUACCCCGCUGUUUUGACGGUACCCAAAGAAUAAGCACCGGCUAACUUCGUG